CAAUAGCGUAUAUUAAAGUUGUUGCGGUUAAAAAGCUCGUAGUUGGAUUUCUGCCGAGGACGACCGGUCCGCCCUCUGGGUGAGUAUCUGGCUCGGCCUGGGCAUCUUCUUGGAGAACGUAGCUGCACUUGACUGUGUGGUGCGGUAUCCAGGACUUUUACUUUGAGGAAAUUAGAGUGUUUCAAGCAGGCACACGCCUUGAAUACAUUAGCAUGGAAUAAUAAGAUAGGACCUCGGUUCUAUUUUGUUGGUUUCUAGAGCUGAGGUAAUGAUUAAUAGGGAUAGUUGGGGGCAUUCGUAUUUAACUGUCAGAGGUGAAAUUCUUGGAUUUGUUAAGGACGGACUACUGCGAAAGCAUUUGCCAAGGAUGUUUUCAUUGA
This 380-nucleotide ribosomal RNA is filed under the name uncultured eukaryote. RNAcentral's name for it is "partial 18S ribosomal RNA". It matches the Rfam family "Eukaryotic small subunit ribosomal RNA", at positions 592 to 976 of the family's 1831-position model. The record is from RNAcentral.